GCUGACGAGUGGCGGACGGGUGAGUAAUGCUUGGGAAUCUGGCUUAUGGAGGGGGAUAACUGUGGGAAACUGCAGCUAAUACCGCGUAUUCUCUGAGGAGGAAAGGGUGGGACCUUAGGGCCACCUGCCAUAAGAUGAGCCCAAGUGGGAUUAGGUAGUUGGUGGGGUAAAGGCCUACCAAGCCUGCGAUCUCUAGCUGGUCUGAGAGGAUGACCAGCCACACUGGAACUGAGACACGGUCCAGACUCCUACGGGAGGCAGCAGUGGGGAAUAUUGCGCAAUGGGGGGAACCCUGACGCAGCCACGCCGCGUGAAUGAAGAAGGCCUUCGGGUUGUAAAGUUCUUUCGGUAAUGAGGAAGGGAUGUUGUUAAAUAGAUAGCAUCAUUGACGUUAAUUACAGAAGAAGCACCGGCUAACUCCGUGCCAGCAGCCGCGGUAAUACGGAGGGUGCGAGCGUUAAUCGGAAUAACUGGGCGUAAAGGGCACGCAGGCGGACUUUUAAGUGAGAUGUGAAAUCCCCGAGCUUAACUUGGGAACUGCAUUUCAGACUGGGAGUCUAGAGUACUUUAGGGAGGGGUAGAAUUCCACGUGUAGCGGUGAAAUG
RNAcentral lists this ribosomal RNA (605 nucleotides) under uncultured Pasteurella sp. RNAcentral's name for it is "bacterial SSU rRNA". It matches the Rfam family "Bacterial small subunit ribosomal RNA", at positions 87 to 688 of the family's 1533-position model. Lineage: Bacteria; Pseudomonadati; Pseudomonadota; Gammaproteobacteria; Pasteurellales; Pasteurellaceae. The record is from RNAcentral.